This 2059-nucleotide ribosomal RNA is filed under the name Triticum aestivum (bread wheat). RNAcentral describes it as "partial small subunit ribosomal RNA". The stretch from base 1091 to 1224 matches the Rfam family "MIR1120/MIR1122 microRNA precursor family". Lineage: Eukaryota; Viridiplantae; Streptophyta; Magnoliopsida; Poales; Poaceae. The record is from RNAcentral.
GUUGGCCCCACCUGGUCGAGUAGGGGGAGGACUUGGGAGCAGUUGAGCCAGGAACUUUUCCGAAUAACCCCUUCUUCCUCGUCGUUGCCCUAGGCUUCUGAUCCUCUCCGGCCAUGGCGAACGCCGGCGAUCCCGCCUCCCUCCCCCCUUCCGCGUCUCCCUCCUCGUCCACGCGCGCGCUCGAGUCGGUCCCCUUCUCCUCCGGGAACCCCCGCAUCGAGGAGACCCGCGGCGUCGUCCUCCUCCACCCCGACCCACCCGCCGCUGCCGCCGCCGCCUCGUCAUCUCAUCUUCCGGCAGAGAGGAAGCCGCAGGUGUUCGUGCCUUCGGUGCCCAACCACAUGACCUACGCGGACUUCUGCCGCUUCUGCGGCUCCUUCGUCCCCCACAUGCUCGAGAUGCGCAUCGUCAGGAUUGAUGGAGCGGAGGACCAGUAUAGCGUUCUCAUAAAGUUUGACACUCUGAGCUCCACCGAUAGCUUCUACAAGCACUUCAAUGGAAAGCAGUUCUCAUCACUGGAGGGUGAUGUUUCUCAUGUACGUUUUGUGGAAGACGUGCACUACACUCAAUUGAUCGAGCAUGCGCAUAGCUCGAUUACGAGCUCAGCUGAGCAGCCUACCUGCCCAGUGUGUCUAGAGCGACUUGACCAAGAUCCUGGAGGCAUUCUUACUACAAUAUGCAACCAUUCUUUCCACUGUUCAUGCAUAUCAAAAUGGACAGACUCUUCGUGCCCAGUUUGUAGGUAUUGUCAGCAGCAACCUGAGAAAUCAAUGUGUUCUGUUUGUGGAACUUCGGAAAAUCUUUGGAUUUGUCUAAUCUGUGGUAAUGUUGGCUGUGGAAGGUACAAAGGUGGUCAUGCUAUUGAACACUGGAAAGAAACUGAACACUGCUAUUCACUUGAAUUAGAAACACAGAAGGUUUGGGAUUAUGCUGGUGACAACUAUGUCCAUCGUUUGAUUCAGUCCAAAACAGAUGGUAAACUGGUUGAGUACAAUUGCUAUGGUGGUCAUGAAGCAGAUGGUAUCUGUUCAAUAUGCAGUGGUGAUGCAGGAAUGGAUGAAGCUCUACUAAACAGUAAAGUUGAAGCUGUAAUGUACUCCCUCCGUCCGGAAAUACUUGUCAUCAUAAUGAAUAAAAGGGAUGUAUCUAGAUGUAUUUUAGUUCUAGAUACAUAUCUUUUUAUCCAUUUUGAUGACAAGUAUUUUCGGACGGAGGGAGUACUAAGUAAAUAAUCUUUGAUAUUAUUAGCUAUACCACCCUGGUAUGUUUGUGCGUAUCUUCUUUUAUGACUUUGCACUUCUCUUCUUUUAGAUUGUUGAAGAGUACAAUGAUCUCCUCACGUCUCAGCUUGACAAACAAAGAAAUUACUAUGAGUCACUUCUGUCAGAAGUCAAAGAGGAGAAUGAGAAAGAAAUUUCUGCAGCCACUUCGAAAGCUGUGAGCAUGAUGAAACUCCAAAAGUUACAGGCAAAGCUUGAUAAGUGCCUUGAAGAGAAAAGUUUUCUUGAUGACAUCAAUGCCAAUCUUGUGAAAAAUCAGGAGAUGUGGAAAGAAAGGGUUCGGAAAGUUCAAGAAAGGGAACAAGCUGCACUUAAAUUGAAAGAUGAGAAGAUUGAGAAGCUGGAGGCGGAGCUAAGAGAUUUGAUAGCCCAUAUCGAGUGCCAAAACGCUGUGGCAGCAGCUCCUGGAUCAAUCUCAAGUGAUAUACAAGGGGGCACAAUUCUUCCUGGACCGUCUGCACCAUCCUCGAGCAGCAGCCCUGUUCGCCCCACAAAGGACAGGAAGCGGAAUUGAGAUCUGCUUACCCUGACUAGAUUUUUAUGAUUGACUUUAGACUGAUAGGGUACAUUCUUAUCCCAAAUCUCCACCCUUCGCUGCUCUGCUAUUGGUUCUCAGGUCCAUGUCCAUUGGGCACUUAUGAAUUGACAGUUACCCGUUGCCCAUGGUGGCAUUUGGUGUGGAAAUAGUCUCACUGAUGAGGGGACCCGACGUUUGAUUGGACAUUUGCUCAUGGGUUUUUUCAUUGUCCAUGAUGUUGAUAAAAUAUUUGUGUGGGAAG